AAUUUAUGUUUAGAUAUCAAUCAUUUACAGCGGAAAAUAUGCUAGUAUAAUUGAUCAUCAUCUUCUUUUCCAUUUGUAUAUAUGAAAUGGCCGAUGGAAGACGGUGACCAACCGAAGGUGAUGAAAUUGAGACGGUUAAGAAAUAGCCGGUAGAUGACGGUGGCUAUGGUAAGGAAGUGGCCGGUGGAAGACGGUGGCCAACCGAAGAUGAUGAAAUUAAGACGGCAUCUCCGCUGAUCGGGCAGCGGCGCGCCUCUUUUCCGGCCGCAUCUAACGACCGCUGCCACCACUCCCCAAAUUUUGUUUAUCUUUAAAGAAUCAGGAAAAUAAGUAAUGGGUUUGUAACUUAUGCAUAUAUAUUUGUAUGUUGUACAUUGUGCAUAUAGACUUGUAAAAACCAAGUUGGUUUUUAGUAUAUAGGGUAAAUAAAUAUAGACCAAGUUGGUUUUUA
Molecule: long non-coding RNA, 451 nt
Organism: Erigeron canadensis
Lineage: Eukaryota; Viridiplantae; Streptophyta; Magnoliopsida; Asterales; Asteraceae
Exons: 2
Source: RefSeq, a predicted model, not a curated record